GGGGGCUGCGGGCAGAAACCCAACUCACCCGAUGUACGUGGCGGAGCUCUUCCCCUCCCCGGUGAAGACGCAUCUGGCGGCGAGCUUGUCCGCGUACCGCACUUCCAACCGUGAGCGCAGAACACAAAUCACCUGCGGUAGCUGGGGAGACUGCCGUCCAAUCAGAGUCCACUUUCCAUCUCGAACCCGAUACCCACUCACUACUUGACCUGCAAAAAAAUAAAAAUAAU
Long non-coding RNA from Anguilla rostrata (American eel), 230 nucleotides. RefSeq lists it as uncharacterized. The transcript has 2 exons. The record is from RefSeq and is a predicted model, not a curated record. NCBI's taxonomy places the organism in Eukaryota, Metazoa, Chordata, Actinopteri, Anguilliformes, Anguillidae.